CGAUUUUAUUAUAGGGAGCAGUGAAUUCAUUUACACACCUAAACACAUAAUAAGCUAUUUAAUGUGGAAAAUUCUUCCUUUUCUGUAAUAUUUUCUCAUAUUAAUAUGAAUAUGCGUAAACUUUAUUAGAUCAUGCUUCCACGAAGAAUUUAUUUACAUUAUAACUCAGUAUUUUCACGACUUCUUAAAAUAAAAAUAAACGAAAAGUACAAAUCUAACCCCUGUGAUUUUACCACACCAAAAUUCUUAGGUCAAGGCAAAGGACGAGAUUGGAUCGCAUUAUUAUCAUCGCAAGAGGCAACCGAGGACCAACCAUAGGCCCUCGUCCAAGUAGAGCUGUUGCCAAAAUAGACAGCGACUUUCGUGACUUUCCAGAUGCACUGUCCAAGUCAUAAGAAUCUUUGCUAAGAACGAAAGCAACGUUGCUCCGUCGCUGGGAAUGUGCAAAUCUCCCUGCCAACUAACAACAUAUAGAUCGCAUUUUUACGAUAAUCGCAGAGAAACUCCAAAGGAACAGAUCCCAUAGAUUGAUUACGGGUAAAAUUAACUAUAUUGUGAUGCGAAGUACCAAAAUUAACUAUAUUAUUUUCUGAAAUUGCUCGAAUCCUUAAAAUGUGAAAUUAUGUAUAUAAAAAAUAAAUACACUCAUAACAUUAUCACUAAAUAUUAAUAAGUCGAGAUGAAGUACAUAAAAAAUUAAUACUUAAAAUUCUAAAACUGUAUUAUUAUUCAAUAAGAAGCAACAUUAACUGUCUAGAGCUGUAUUAUUUUCCUGUUCAUUCUUUGAACUAACUUUGGAACGCUGACUAAAAAGUCAAGCUUCGAUACCACCAUCCCAACCAUACUUGCUCUUUAGUCCAAAUAGAUACCAACCUCAGUCACUUCCAUACCCACACCUCCAAUCUCUACCAUUUGCGGCCUGAUCAAUCGCUAUGAAUUGCUUGUGCUUCUAUAGACAAGUUUAACGCUUUUCAACAAGUGUGAACGAUAAUCCAAGCAAGGGGAUUAGCGAGCUACACAACAACGAUCCUAAUAAAACGAGAUCUAAGGAAGGACUCUCCCAAACAGUAAGCGCUUCCAAAGUAGCAUAAAUAAUGGGAUGUUUAUCUACCACUUUAACAAAUUUAUCCAAUACAUGAAAAAAAAAUAUUCAUAAUCAAUCAAACUACUAUUCCAUAGCUGAAACCAAUAUGCAUAAGUUCAAGGAUAAAAGACAGUAGAACAAACACCACAAGCGCAUUUACAUGCAAAACACAUAUCUACCAUUUUAUCGAUUGAUAAGUUUAUUUGUUUAGUAAAGCAUGCACAAGUUACAAACCUUGAGCAUGAUUAGUUAUAACUACAUCCUCUACAAAGAUAUACACAAGAACAAGUGCACAAUCCCCCAUUACUUCAUACACGUGAGGAGCACAGAGAACAUCCUAAACUGAGAAAUAUACAAGUGGAAGAAAGAUACUUACAUAACCAAAAAGAGUGGCCCAGUCCCCCCUUCCUUGGACGCAUCAGGAAUACUGGAGUAGCAGAAGAGGUGAUUGGACAUUUCCCAGCUCCAGUCCUGUUUCCUAGACACAGACAUUCUGGGCCAUCGGUUUAUCCUAACAUAGUGCUCCCUGAUUGUCCCGUCACCAACAAAACUAGUUACAACUGAAAAACAGCAUUCAUGACCACCCCAUACCCUAUCACCAGGAUCAGCAGUUUGGCUUCCAUCUUGAUGAAAGUAGCGGUGCAUGGGAGGGCCAGUGCCUUUCCAAUAGGGAUCAAGAUUUCUCCAAUAUUCCGGAGCCAACUAAGGGCAUGUUGAUAGAUGUCAGACAUUCAUGAGCAAAGAAUUGCAGUUGGACUUGAGCAAACUAUAAACCAAAACUUGAAGAAGGUAUGACCCAUAAGUUGGAGAUGGAUGGGUAUGAUGGGUAUUAGUCUACGCACCAGUGGUAAUAUAACAUGGGAUGUUAUUGGAAUUAUUAUAGAUAGUACAGAGGGAAGAUAAGGAGUUCCAACUGAGGGAAAUCCUUGAGUAACUAACGUAUAUCAAAGCCAUGCAUGUAAAGAAGUGCAUUGAUGAAAAUUGCAAAUUAACCGUGAAAAUAAACAUGUCUAGGAUCACAAAUAGACAAGCAUAAUUGAAUUAUUUUUAAUAUAGAAAAAGAUGCAUACUAAAAUUCUUGACCUCUUCCUUAAAAUUUUAAAGAAUAUCAUUGCAAAGGCUACACAAGAUUAUAAUCAACCAAAAGAGAUAGGAUUGUGAUAUUAACAGAUUCCAUUGUCAUGCAUGCUUCAAAUUAGUGGAAUCAUCACUGCACUGGAUGACAGACUUUAUUAACAAGUUGUGUCAGGUAUGCUUCUUUCAUAAUAAUUAUGUACUCUAUACAGAAGAACAUACCUUUGUAAAAUGGAAUUCCCAAACAUGAUCACACAGAUCAUCCCUCAUGAUACGAGUCUGGCAUAAAAGAUAAACAAAACAAUCACUUUUGUUAAUUCUAUGUUAAUGAGCUUUCUGCAUAUGCACACAGUGCAUGUUGAGAAAUAGGAGAGGAUAAAGGGAAGAAAGGGGUAUAGACUAAUCAUUACUCACUCGUUUGCCAUCGAUAACAGAUAAUGAAUAAGCAGCCAACUUGGAUAUUCCCCGGACCUGUGACAAGCGCGGAAUGUGUGCUUUUCCAAGCCACAAUUCCUCACACUUAGAGCUCCACAGACGAUCGCUAGAAGCAACGCGAUGCCACCCGCGAGAGACAAGGAGAGAUAGUGCCACGCUGCGUGCGUCGAGAUUGCUGAGAAUCUUCAUCAUCAAGUCCCAACCAAGGACCUCCAGAGGGUCUUGUCGAAGAGAAUCUCCAUUAGCGUUCUCUUCAUCAGCCGCUUCAUAUCCAUCCAGUUCAACUCUCUUACUUCUCUUCCUCUUCCUGUUCGACCCUUUCCUCUCCUCAGGCAGCAAUUCUCCUCCACCAAAAUGGAAAGCGUUAGGGCGGCGAGGAGACGAUAAAGUAGUGUCGUCGAGCUCUUCCAUGUCAUUGGUUUCAUUCAUUCCUUGGGACCUGGUCCGAGCCAUUGAAGGUAAAAAGGAAAAAUACAGUGAAGAGGGGAUGAACUGAAAUCACGUGCGCAUAGAGUAAAGGACUACAUCAUUUUUCCCCUUUUCUUUAAUAGAGUUUUGUCGUUUUGUGGGAGAUGGAUUAUCGUCCACAUACAGUGCACGGGAU
RNAcentral lists this unclassified non-coding RNA (3197 nucleotides) under Hevea brasiliensis (rubber tree). Lineage: Eukaryota; Viridiplantae; Streptophyta; Magnoliopsida; Malpighiales; Euphorbiaceae. The record is from RNAcentral.